AUGUCACGGAUUUGAGCGGCGGAUCGUCAAUGUCAUCGAUUUUUGUUUUUUUCGCUGCGUAUAUCAAUUUAAUCCAUAACCCGGCAAGGGCGUUAUUUUCGAUACGGAACACUGACGGUGACGAGUUCAUCUCGGAUAAGUGAAUAGCGUCAUCUUAUCAGUAAAUCGUGAAGAAGCUCGCACGGUGUAAGCGCCGUCUCAUCAGUUAAGGAUUAACGCUCCAAUACGGAUGAAAAGUGACGCUUCGUAGACUUCCAACAUCUUGAAAUUACCGAUAACUAAAUAUAGUGGGAAAAAAAAACGACUUUACGUCUUCCCGAGUGAGCACCUUUGACGUGGAAAUUUAAGUGAUUAUCGGAAUAUCGAUCGGUGAUUUCCGCGGCUCCGAGGAAGAAGAUUCACGCGCUCUUCAUCGGAAGCUGCACGUACACCGGGUUGUCCGUCGACAGGCGGAAUAUGGAGAUAUUUCAGCCACGUGCAGUUUUUAUUUACACUGCUUGAUGCAUUUUAAAAUUAUUCGUAUGACUGAGUGUUGUUUCGCUCUUUCGAGUAUAAGACGUUGGACGUUGGACAAUAGAAUCAGCGUGACCUCUCAACCGCGAUAACGCGCUCACGUAGAACGUCUCGGGGCGUUAAAAUGUGAAUCACGCGUAAUUGCCGAAAUGUGCGAUUUCUGAUUUGAUUGUGAAAGCCCGAAAGUAUCCUCGAAGAAGCCGAGACGCGCAUGUCAUAGAAUAACGCUGUAAAGUUUAAAUUAAAAAUCGGGCACUUUCUUAGAUUUCCUUAGAAAUAUGAUAAAAUAAAAUAAGUGGUUUUUCAUCGUUUA
This is a long non-coding RNA of Wasmannia auropunctata (little fire ant), 826 nucleotides long. RefSeq lists it as uncharacterized. NCBI's taxonomy places the organism in Eukaryota, Metazoa, Arthropoda, Insecta, Hymenoptera, Formicidae. The transcript is spliced from 4 exons. The record is from RefSeq and is a predicted model, not a curated record.